Molecule: ribosomal RNA, 460 nt
Filed under: uncultured bacterium
Lineage: Bacteria
Description: partial 16S ribosomal RNA
Rfam family: Bacterial small subunit ribosomal RNA
Source: RNAcentral
CCUACGGGAGGCAGCAGUGAGGAAUAUUGGUCAAUGGACGAGAGUCUGAACCAGCCAAGUAGCGUGAAGGAUGACUUCCCUAUGGGUUGUAAACUUCUUUUAUAAAGGAAUAAAACGAGGCACGUGUGCCUUUUUGCAUGUACUUUAUGAAUAAGGAUCGGCUAACUCCGUGCCAGCAGCCGCGGUAAUACGGAGGAUCCGAGCGUUAUCCGGAUUUAUUGGGUUUAAAGGGAGCGUAGAUGGGUUGUUAAGUCAGUUGUGAAAGUUUGCGGCUCAACCGUAAAAUUGCAAUUGAUACUGGCAGUCGUGAGUACAGUUGAGGUAGGCGGAAUUCGUGGUGUAGCGGUGAAAUGCUUAGAUAUCACGAAGAACCCCGAUUGCGAAGGCAGCUUACUAAACUGUGACUGACAUUGAUGCUCGAAAGUGUGGGUAUCAAACAGGAUUAGAUACCCUGGUAGUC